RNAcentral lists this ribosomal RNA (274 nucleotides) under uncultured bacterium. RNAcentral describes it as "partial 16S ribosomal RNA". It matches the Rfam family "Archaeal small subunit ribosomal RNA", at positions 473 to 747 of the family's 1478-position model. The record is from RNAcentral.
AAACCAGCACCUCAAGUGGUCAGGAGGAUUAUUGGGCCUAAAGCAUCCGUAGCCUGCUGCAUAAGUUUUCGGUUAAAUCCAUACGCUCAACGUAUGGGCUGCCGGGAAUACUGUGCAGCUAGGGAGUGGGAGAGGUAGACGGUACUCGGUAGGAAGGGGUAAAAUCCUUUGAUCUAUUGAUGACCACCUGUGGCGAAGGCGGUCUACCAGAACACGUUCGACGGUGAGGGAUGAAAGCUGGGGGAGCAAACCGGAUUAGAAACCCUAGUAGUCC